AGCAGCCGCGGUAAUUCCAGCUCCAAUAGCGUAUAUUAAAGUUGUUGCAGUUAAAAAGCUCGUAGUUGAAUUUCGGGAUCAAUAUAUUGGUCAUGCUUAGGUAUGUACUGGUAUUGUUGAUUUCUCCCUUCUGAAGAACCAUGAUGUCAUUAAUUUGAUGUCGUGGGGAAUCAGGACUGUUACUUUGAAAAAAAUUAGAGUGUUUAAAGCAGGCUUUCGCUUGAAUACAUUAGCAUGGAAUAAUGAAAUAGGACGUUUGAUUCUAUUUUGUUGGUUUCUAGGAUCGACGUAAUGAUUAAUAGGGAUAGUUGGGGGCAUUAGUAUUCAAUUGUCAGAGGUGAAAUUCUUGGAUUUAUUGAAGACUAACUACUGCGAAAGCAUUUGCCAAGGAUGUUUUCAUUAAUCAAGAACGAAAGUUAGGGGAUCGAAGACGAUCAGAUACCGUCGUAGUCUUAACCAUAAACUAUGCCGACUAGGGAUCGGAUGAUGUUAAUUUUUUAAUGACUCAUUCGGCGCCUUA
This 520-nucleotide unclassified non-coding RNA is filed under the name uncultured Glomus. RNAcentral describes it as "SSU rRNA". It matches the Rfam family "Eukaryotic small subunit ribosomal RNA", at positions 569 to 1090 of the family's 1831-position model. Lineage: Eukaryota; Fungi; Glomeromycota; Glomeromycetes; Glomerales; Glomeraceae. The record is from RNAcentral.